CCUGUGGGCGGGAAAACCACUCCCCUUGUCCCGGCCUGGGAGUGGGACAAAUAAGGCUGUUCGUCCCACGGGGGCCCCCAGCCCACCUGCUUCCUAUCCGUUUCCUGCAGGAUGGUGCCCCCUGCAUCCCCUCACCCAUCGCUCAUGGAAGGAAAAGCAGACGUGGCCAGCCUGCAUCCUCUUCCUUCCCCGAGCCUCCUGGCCUGGCUGGCCACAGCUGGCAUGGACGCCAUCAGCAGGCUCCGGGCAGGCAGACGGGGCAGCGCCCACAGCCAGGCCACCCUGGCCCUCACUCACCAGCACCCUUUUGUUCUUUUCCUAGCAAAAUAUGCAAAGUGUGACCAGUGUGGAAACCCAAAGGGCAACAGAUGUGUGUUCAGCCUGUGCCGCGGCUGCUGCAAGAAGCGAGCCUCCAAAGAGACUGCAGACUGCCCAGGUCACGGAUUGCUUUUUAAAACCAAACUGGAGAAGUCUCUGGCCUGGAAAGAGGCCCAGCCUGAGCUGCAGGAGCCUCAGCCGGCAGCACCCGGAACACCAGGUGGCUUCUCCGAAGUCAUGGGCAGUGCCCUGGCCUGAAGGCCCAGAACCCCCACCCCCAGGACUGCUGCUGGAGCCUGGACACGUCCUACUUAAGAAAAUGCCUUUUACUCAGGGAAUCUCCUGCUACUUAAUGUG
Molecule: small RNA, 675 nt
Filed under: Pongo abelii (Sumatran orangutan)
Lineage: Eukaryota; Metazoa; Chordata; Mammalia; Primates; Hominidae
Description: retained intron
Source: RNAcentral